UGCAGUCGAGCGGACAGAUGGGAGCUUGCUCCCUGAUGUUAGCGGCGGAGGGUGAGUAACACGUGGGUAACCUGCCUGUAAGACUGGGAUAACUCCGGGAAACCGGGGCUAAUACCGGAUGGUUGUUUGAACCGCAGGUUCAGACAUAAAAGGUGGCUUCGGCUACCACUUACAGAUGGACCCGCGGCGCAUAGCUAGUUGGUGAGGUAACGGCUCACCAAGGCGACGAUGCGUAGCCGACCUGAGAGGGUGAUCGGCCACACUGGGACUGAGACACGGCCCAGACUCCUACGGGAGGCAGCAGUAGGGAAUCUUCCGCAAUGGACGAAAGUCUGACGGAGCAACGCCGCGUGAGUGAUGAAGGUUUUCGGAUCGUAAAGCUCUGUUGUUAGGGAAGAACAAGUGCCGUUCAAAUAGGGCGGCACCUUGACGGUACCUAACCAGAAAGCCACGGCUAACUACGUGCCAGCAGCCGCGGUAAUACGUAGGUGGCAAGCGUUGUCCGGAAUUAUUGGGCGUAAAGGGCUCGCAGGCGGUUUCUUAAGUCUGAUGUGAAAGCCCCCGGCUCAACCGGGGAGGGUCAUUGGAAACUGGGGAACUUGAGUGCAGAAGAGGAGAGUGGAAUUCCACGUGUAGCGGUGAAAUGCGUAGAGAUGUGGAGGAACACCAGUGGCGAAGGCGACUCUCUGGUCUGUAACUGACGCUGAGGAGCGAAAGCGUGGGGAGCGAACAGGAUUAGAUACCCUGGUAGUCCACGCCGUAAACGAUGAGUGCUAAGUGUUAGGGGGUUUCCGCCCCUUAGUGCUGCAGCUAACGCAUUAAGCACUCCGCCUGGGGAGUACGGUCGCAAGACUGAAACUCAAAGGAAUUGACGGGGGCCCGCACAAGCGGUGGAGCAUGUGGUUUAAUUCGAAGCAACGCGAAGAACCUUACCAGGUCUUGACAUCCUCUGACAAUCCUAGAAGAUAGGACGUCCCCUUCGGGGGCAGAGUGACAGGUGGUUGCAUGGUUGUCGUCAGCUCGUGUCGUGAAAAGUUUGGGGUUAAGUCCCGCAACGAGCGCAACCCUUGA
Molecule: ribosomal RNA, 1071 nt
Filed under: Bacillus amyloliquefaciens
Lineage: Bacteria; Bacillati; Bacillota; Bacilli; Caryophanales; Bacillaceae
Description: bacterial SSU rRNA
Rfam family: Bacterial small subunit ribosomal RNA
Source: RNAcentral